RNAcentral lists this small nuclear RNA (105 nucleotides) under Echinops telfairi (small Madagascar hedgehog). The record is from RNAcentral. Lineage: Eukaryota; Metazoa; Chordata; Mammalia; Afrosoricida; Tenrecidae.
GUGCUCGCUUCGGCAGCACAUAUACUAAAAUUGGAACGAUACAGAGAGAUUAGCAUGGUCCCUGCGCAGGAUGACAUGCAAAUUCGUGAAGCGGUUCCAUAUUUA